Molecule: long non-coding RNA, 1398 nt
Organism: Varanus komodoensis (Komodo dragon)
Lineage: Eukaryota; Metazoa; Chordata; Lepidosauria; Squamata; Varanidae
Exons: 6
Source: RefSeq, a predicted model, not a curated record
CAAUCAAUCAAUCAAUCAAUGUGAGGCAGUUCAAGAAACCAGAGCCUAACGUUGCCGUCACAUUUGCAAAUUUCACCUAGGGCAUUUAGAAAACGGCUGUUGCAAUGUUGCUGCUGCUGAACACCAGCUCACUGACCUCAAUUCUCUUAGGAGAGAAAAGAGCAGAUCAAAUAGAAAAUACUUAAAAUGAAAAUUUGUUGCCUUGCAGAUGGGGAAUCAGUGGAGGUAGCUGGCAACUGUACAGCCUGAGAUCCACCAAAUUAAUUUUUAUGCUGCUGCUCUGUGAAUUCAAGGCCAGGAGGCAUCUCACCUCCAUCUGUUCUGACUCAUGCAACUCCACAUGAUCCCUGAAGGCUAUAUUUUGAAUGUGUACAUCUUGGGUACUCAUGUCACUGAAAAGAUACCACCACACAGAGAAGCAGCAGCCAAGAAGUAUCAGCUUGCUCGUCUGCACAGACAUAUUGAUUCUGAGUCAAAGACUGUAAGGACAAACAUAUUACCUGCAGUACUUGUCACAGUCCAGUGCUUCAAAAGACAUCAAUAAAGGGCUUGGCACCUCAAAACAAAGAGAAUUAGAUGUUAUAUAAUAUUAUGUGAAAAUACCCAACUGGAUGAAGGGACCUUGAAUCAUGCUGGCACAUAGUGGUUUGGAAAAGCCUGAACUACACUCUAUAGGGGCUUCAGCUAAAGCUGCAAAUCACAGUCCUGCCUGCCUGCCUGCCUGCCUGCCUGGGCACCUCAUCUCCACCCUAAUGGACUACCUGUCUCCUGCAAAAAGAGGAAGGAAAGGAAACAAACAAUAGCAGACAAUGCUUUGCUCAUCAGCAGCAGUAAAGGAGUGCAUCCUGCCAAUUGCACUGUGCAAGCAGGACUCACCGUUCAUGCCAGGGAGAUGAAGUGCUUUCUACAUGAAACCCUGAAACGAUCUGAAAUGCUCACUCCUGGAAGGGAACAAGUCAGAGGACGCUCCCAUGUGUGAACUUUACUGACACGCCUGCUUCAAGAAAUGAACAUUCCUGCUUGUUUUGGGUUGUGCCAGAAGUGCCAAAUUAACAUUGCACAAGUGGCGGAAGCUGCUAGUGCAAAACAAUCCAUGGGGUUGCAAGUGCCCCAUUGGAAUCUGCCCUCUGAUUUUACCUCAGGAAUUGUUUGCCUUGCUUUUGAUUGUGAGCUUUUGUUGUUGUUUCAACAGGACACUGCUCUCAUGGACUCAAGCCUGAAAAUGUACAUUUGUCUUAUCCCCCAAACAUGAAGAAAUACCACUUUACAGACUUAGAAUUAACUCCUUCACCUAAUCAGCUUUGCAAUUAGAUGCUUCAGCAUGUAGAGAGGUGAGGAGGAGAUAAAAUGCCCCUCUGCUGAGAGACAAGAGUUUUAUUUGUUUAUUUAGUAAGCUUC